RNAcentral lists this ribosomal RNA (274 nucleotides) under uncultured bacterium. RNAcentral's name for it is "partial 16S ribosomal RNA". It matches the Rfam family "Bacterial small subunit ribosomal RNA", at positions 523 to 796 of the family's 1533-position model. The record is from RNAcentral.
AUACGAAGGGGGCAAGCGUUGUGCGGAAUAACUGGGCGUAAAGCGCACGUAGGCGGAAUGUUAAGUUAGAGGUGAAAUCCCAGGGCUCAACCCUGGAACUGCCUUUAAUACUGGCAAUCUAGAGACCGAGAGAGGUGAGUGGAAUUCCGAGUGUAGAGGUGAAAUUCGUAGAUAUUCGGAGGAACACCAGUGGCGAAGGCGGCUCACUGGCUCGGUACUGACGCUGAGGUGCGAAAGCGUGGGGAGCAAACAGGAUUAGAUACCCGGGUAGUCC